This is a long non-coding RNA of Lycium ferocissimum, 1794 nucleotides long. RefSeq lists it as uncharacterized. Lineage: Eukaryota; Viridiplantae; Streptophyta; Magnoliopsida; Solanales; Solanaceae. The transcript is spliced from 4 exons. The record is from RefSeq and is a predicted model, not a curated record.
AGAGUUGGUUACUCAUAAAGAUGAUUGGAUCACAAGGGUUAGGAUUUGUCGAAUUUGCGAUGCCAUUAAUCCCAAGAAUAACGGCGAAUUGAUCAGUUUGGAUAUGAUUUUUAUUGACGAAAAGGUACUUUCUUACAUGAUUUUUAUUUUCAUAUAUCAAAUUUUUUGACUUUUGAUCCUCAAUUCACUUUCGGCUUUCUUAUAUCAGGGAAAUUUGAUGCAUGAUAUCGUUAGAAAGAGUCAUGUUAACAGGUUUAAACACAAGUUGAUUGAAGGUUCUUUAUAUACCACCAAGAACUUUAAAGUCGUAGAAAGUUGUGUGGAUAUAGACCUGUCGAAAGUUCAUUGAAAAUUAUUUUCUUUGCCUCAAUUGCAAUCAAGAAAUUGUCCGAAGAUAUUGGUGAUAUUCCUAUUAACGGAUUUCAGUUUAUUAAACCUGAUAUGAUUGAGUCAAGGGUGCGCAACAACACUAUCUUAUCAGACGUGGUUGGUUGUUUAUGCGGAGUUGGGGAUAUGGAGAGCGCUGGAUCAAAGUGGAAAAAAAGGGACAUCCAAAUUGUUACGGAUUAGUAUACCCCUUAUCCCAUUUUAAGUAUUUUUGGUUUGUUAUCUUUGUAAAGGUGAUUUUGUAAUACAAAACACACAACCUUGAUAAAUUUCAUCGAUCAUUGAGUCAUUUUAGUCUAUAUUUAUUGGAUUCUGGCUUAAACAGUGUUUUUAUGGAUACUCUAGGUGCCAACAAAAGUGCACUCAUUAUUGGAACUCUUUUGUUUAUACCUGUUAAAUUUCUACACUAUUUGCACAUGUCUAUAAAUACAUAACCUCUUAAUCUCCUCUUUACAGUCACUCAAUAGUCAACAUUAUUGGAACUAGAUGUUGGUCGUUUCUUUUUAUUAGAUUUAGAUGAACUGUUAAAUUGUGAUUUGUCUUUUUUCUGCAUAGUUCGGCGAAAUAAAAAAUUACCUUAUAGGAAUAAUUUGGAGAACAGUUUGCUCCUUAUUUGUACAAGAAGGAUUCUAGCCCGUAUAUAGUCAUUUUAACUUCCACCACAGUUAAAGAAUUUUGUGGUAAUUGUUUCAGAUUUAAUUGUCGGUGUUAUGUAUUUAUCUGUUAAUUUUCUGAGUAAUUUCACGGUUAUUUUCUAUUGCAUCCUUUGUUAAUAGGUGAGGUUAGCUUCUCCACCACCUCUGCAAGCAAAGUAUAUGCAAAAGUUUUCUACCAUGUCCACGGGAGUGCAAAUUAUCGAAAGCUCUAAUGUUAAUACCAUUCCUAUAGAGGUAGAGAUGUUUUUUAACCGGUGGACAUUAAGGAGUUGUUAGAGUCUGAUUGGAGUCCUAAAAUACAUGAAUAUGUUGUUACUGUAAGGGGAAAAAUUAUAGGAAUACAGGACUGUUUUGGCUGGUACUACAUUUCAUGCAAUGCGUGUUUAAAGAAGAUUAGACCCGCAGAUGGUGUAUAUCGAUGCCACCAGUGCAAUAAGGAUUGCAAGUUUCCUUUGGUGAAGUACAAGAUACACAUAAAAGUGAAAGAUAAAACUAGGGACACUACAGUUGUCCUAUUCAAUGAUGUGGCUGAGAAACUCCUUGAUACAUCAGCUCACAAGUUGUUCAACAAGCUGUCGUUGAGUAACAACAAUGAUGUGCCUGCCCAAAUCAAAAGCCUCUGUGGGAAAGAUUUUAUUUUUAAGCCCAAAUUAAAUAAGUAUAAUUUGAAAGAGGGGCUUGAAAAUUUUACAGUAUCUAAGCUUUGGAUUCCAGAUGAGGAUUUGGAAGUACAAUACAAGCUAAGGAAAGA